Molecule: long non-coding RNA, 325 nt
Organism: Lolium rigidum
Lineage: Eukaryota; Viridiplantae; Streptophyta; Magnoliopsida; Poales; Poaceae
Exons: 4
Source: RefSeq, a predicted model, not a curated record
UGGCCUGUAUCAUCCACUGUCCGGGCAGUACGGGCGCGCUGGACUGAACUAAUCUCGAGCUCUUACCAGUGUCGGCGAUCCAGCCUGCUCUCUAGAUCGGAUAUGCUGUGGCAGUUGAUCCCGUUCUUGGCGUUUGUUUGGUUAAAUUAAGCAGUGCCGGAGCCACAUCAUGAAGCGGUUAUCAAUAGACUCACUGCUUUCUUUCUUAUCCAGAAGGAAUUUUAUCCAAGAAGCUAGCAAGAACAUCAAUAUUGAUGAACAUCUUUUUUUCGAGAGCAUGCAAAACGCGUGCCAUAUUUUAUAGAAUGAAGCAAAAUGAUAUCUG